RNAcentral lists this ribosomal RNA (645 nucleotides) under uncultured Acidobacteriota bacterium. RNAcentral's name for it is "SSU rRNA". It matches the Rfam family "Bacterial small subunit ribosomal RNA", at positions 242 to 891 of the family's 1533-position model. The record is from RNAcentral. Lineage: Bacteria; Pseudomonadati; Acidobacteriota.
CAGCUAGUUGGUGAGGUAACGGCUCACCAAGGCUUUGAUCGUUAGCUGGUCUGAGAGGAUGGCCAGCCACACUGGAACUGAGACACGGUCCAGACUCCUACGGGAGGCAGCAGUGGGGAAUCUUGCACAAUGGGCGAAAGCCUGAUGCAGCGACGCCGCGUGGGGGAUGAAGCUUUUCGGAGUGUAAACCCCUUUCGACCCGGACGAAUGCCUCGCAAGAGGACUGACGGUACGGGUAUAAGAAGCCCCGGCUAACUACGUGCCAGCAGCCGCGGUAAGACGUAGGGGGCCAGCGUUGCUCGGAAUUACUGGGUGUAAAGGGUUCGUAGGCGGUGUGGCAAGUUGGGAGUGAAAUCUCUGGGCUCAACCCAGAGGCUGCUUCCAAAACUGCUGUGCUUGAGUGUGGGAGAGGCGCGUGGAAUUGCAGGUGUAGCGGUGAAAUGCGUAGAUAUCUGCAGGAACACCCGUGGCGAAAGCGGCGCGCUGGACCACAACUGACGCUGAGGAACGAAAGCUAGGGGAGCAAACAGGAUUAGAUACCCUGGUAGUCCUAGCCCUAAACGAUCAGGACUUGGGGUGCUUCACGUUCGUGGAGCGUCCCGGAGCUAACGCGUUUAGUCCUGCACCUGGGGAGUACGGUCGCAA